This 3891-nucleotide long non-coding RNA is filed under the name Fukomys damarensis (Damara mole-rat). RNAcentral's name for it is "lncRNA (ENSFDAG00000027049.1)". Lineage: Eukaryota; Metazoa; Chordata; Mammalia; Rodentia; Bathyergidae. The record is from RNAcentral.
AUGCUUCACCUUUUCCCCGCCGAGGAGCCAGACUUCAUGAAUGACAUGUACCAGGUGGGCCCAGGAGGCAGAAGAGCCCCAACCGGGGGGAGCAAGGUGAUGGCUGAAUCCAGGCUGGCCCUGAACUUGCAGCAAUCCUCCUGCCUCAGCCUCCCGAGUGCUGGGAUUAGAGGUCACACCCGGCUGCAUGGUUGGCAUUUGGUCUGUAGGAGCCAUCAUUUUAGAUGGGAUCACCCUCUUCAGCUGGCCCUCCCCUGGCUUGAUGGUGGGCAGCAGGCUCUCUGCUCUCAAGUCUCCCUGCUCGUGACCUCCCCCUGGGUGUCCAAGGGCCCAGAAACCGCAGCCCUGAGAGAUUUGAAUGCCCUCCCUGGAGGUGGCCACUUCCUCCAUCCUCCAGCAAAUGCUGGCCCAGCCCUUGGACCCAGGAUACAGAGCCUCCUCUGUCCUGGCCCUGCCCCGGGGUGCGGUGUUUACUGCUGGGUGGCACAAACAGUCGUCUUUCUGGGGUGGCAACCUUCAGGGAGGAACCCACCAACCACUUCCUCCAGGCGCAGAGAUGCUCCCUGGCAGCUCUGGCAGCUGCUUCGGGCUCUGGCGGUGAAGCUGAGUGGGCUCCCCACUUUGUGGCUGCCAGAAGACACCCCUUCUGCGGGCUCCUUCUGGGCUCUGAAGAGUCCCCAGGCCUGGUUCCUAGCCAGGUAUGUGAGGCCCCAGGGGGAGCCUUGGCUUUGGCCUCAGAUUGGGAGCUGGGUGGUAGACGAGCUCUCUUAGGGCUCUUUCUGGGACCUUGUGGGAGGGGAAAUUGAUCAAGAGCACAGAGAAGUUUGCUAAGGGGCCGGGGGCAUAGCUCCAUGGUAGAGCACCUGCUAGUGUACCCGGGACCCUGGGUUCCAGACGCAGCAUCCAUACAACUUACACCUUUGCUAAGGACAGACAGUGUGGGUGUGGGUCACAUGCAGCACCCCUGCUACCGGGGCAGGACGGGCUCAAGCAAUGUGGGCCCCUGCAGGCCAUGGUGUGGGCCUGGAGGGGAGCCCUGGCACCGGCAGGUCAGCAAGGGCCACCAGGGCUGCCAAGGCCCCCAUCCGCCCAGUGUCUCUGUCGGGGCUGGCCAAGCUCCCAGGCUUGGAGUAUUGACCUGAGCCUCAGUUUCCCCUGGAAAGUUGGGAUAACAGUGGCAUGGGUUAUUUCAUGGAUUCCAUGGGGUGUGUUCACAGUGCUGGUGCAGAAGAGGGCAGCCAAUGUGGAGCUCCCGGUCCUCACUAUUGGGGUGCAGGCUCCCCCUCCCAGGGCCCCCAAGGGAAGCCAGCCCUGAGCAGAGCCUACUGCAGGUGCCCUGGGCCCAGGAACGUCACAGGCCUGGGGGGGUCAUGCCAGGUCCCACUGUGGUCCUGAGGCUGAGCUGAGGCACCCUUUCUCACUUUUGGGUUCCAUGGCUUGGAGUGGGGAGAAGGGCUGGAGACAGGAUGCUUCUACCUUAGACGCAGCCUCUGACGUGCGCCCCUUGGAGAGGGUCAUCAGGGCUCCCCUGACUGCCGCCCCCCCAUAAGUGGGGUGGGGUGGGACAUAGGGUGGCCACCAGCACCUGGGCGGGACUGGGCUGAGGGUCAGAAAGUGGUGACCCAAGACACUGGGCAGGCAGGAAGCGUGUGCCCACUCCUCCCUCGGGGAGGCCCAUUUCCUUCCUAAUGGCGGGUGCUUUUACAGCUCCAAGGGUGGACCUUGCCCCACAGCCCCUUCACUGAUGUUUGUUUUGAUUAAAAACAGAACAUUGCUAAUGUAUCAAAUUAGUACAGUGCAAACAUCAUAGAAGUUUAUAAAGCUUUAAAAAGUUUAUAGGAGGGGCCGGAGAUUUAGCUCAGUGGUUCUGCCACCUGUCUGGCAAGCUCAAGGUCCUGAAUUCAAUCCCCAGUACCAAAAAAAAAAAAAGUUUAUAAAGUAAAGAUAGCCCCAGCCCUCCUGCCCCACCGCUGCCCUGCAGGGACACCAUGGCCGGUAGUCCCUGUGGCUUCAUCCUGACAUUUACAUAUGCACUUACACAUACAGUGAUGUGCUAUGCGUAAGUGACUUAGUAAAAAAGAAAAGCCAGGUGUGGUGGUGGGGAGGGAGGAGGAUCACUGUGAGUUUGAGGUCAGGCUAGACUACACAGCGAGACCCUGUCUCAAAAACAAAAGUGAAAAAAUAAAAACCAAGCAAGGCCGGGAUGCAGAUAGUGGUACAGAUCGUUAUUCUUGACUUCUGCUUUUAAAACUUUAUCUUUUUUGGUACCAAGGAUCGAACUCUGCACCUUGCACUUCCGAGGCAGGCGACAGCGCCACUGAGCUAAAUUCACAGCCUCCUUUUAAAACUUUUUUUUUUUUUAAUUCAGAUUUUUGAGACAGGGUCCUGCUAUUAGUUCGGGCUGGCCUUGAAUUCAGAGCAAUCCUCCUGCCUCAGCCUCCUGAGUGCUAGGAUUAUAGGCUGGCAUCACUGUGCUCAGUUUCAUACUUUAAUCAUUGGGACAGACGAAAGCUGUCUCUUUUGAGAAGUGGGGUUCUGGGUGCUGUGCCGAAGCCACACCGUGGAUUGUACAGUUUCCUUCAUCUGCCCACACUGUCUUCACCCUGCUCACAUCUCUAAGAUCUCCCCCACAAGAGCGGCUCAUUCAUUUCCCUUGCUAUGUAAUUUCCCCCAGUGUGAAUGGACCAUCAAGAAAAAAAAAUCCUUCUGUUGAGAGCUGCUUGGACCAUUUCCACUUCUGUUAUUAUUUUGAGCAGGGCUGCUAUGAAUUUAGUCAUGUAUAUUUACAAGGAUUUCUCCAGGGUCUAUGUACCUAGAUCUGGGAUGGAAAAAAAUUGUGUUUGAGAUAGUGUCUCGCUUUGUAGUUCGGGCUGACCCUGAACUCUUGUAGUUCAUGGCCUUGAACUCACAGCAUUCCUCCUGCCUCUGCCUCCCAAGUGCUGGGAUUAUAAGUGUGAACCCCCACGCACGGCUUGGAAUGGAAAUUUUUAUAAUUUUGUUUUCCAAAUUGGUUACACAAGACUCAGGUCUUUAAACUUGCUUUAAGUAUGCUGUAAAUGUCCUGCCUACUUCAUUUUAACAGCCUGCCAGUGGCUUCCUGGUCUCCCAACAGUGGCCAGUUAUGUUGUUAUUUUUCAUAGGAACAUAAAAUGAUGUGAUGAAUACCCUGGUAAUUAAAAAAGUAACAUUUUAAGUCUUAUUGUCUCUAUUUUCUAGAAGUAAGGUAAAGGAAGUAAUGUACAGCAGACCCUUGAGUGACGACUGGCCUGCCUGACAUACAACGGGUUAUGACUGGAAUUUUAGUUUUAACUUAGGACCAGAAUAUUGAGUUAGGACCCCAGUGCCAGCCGCAUGUGCUUCCCGAUGGUCUCCAAUACAGAUUUAACUUUUGUUUUGUUUUGUUUUGUUUGAGACCAGGUCUCACUAUGUAGUGAGACUGACCUGGAACUCAUUGUGUAGCCCAGGCUGGUCUUGAACUCACAGUGAUCCUCCUGCCUCAGCCUCCUGAGUGCUGGGAUUACAGGUGUGUGCCACCACGCCGGGCUGCCAGAUUUAACUCUUUAAAGAGUUCUGAAAGGAAAAUUACAAGAUCCUUUCCCAUGUGGGGUUCACUGAGAAGUCCUGGGCCAGUGUCUCUCUAAGGACAGUGAGAUCUGCCUGUGUGCAGGAGACUUUGGAGUCUGUGGAGAGGAGCCUGGGCCUUCCAUUACCAACUCGAGUUACAACCAGUUCUCAACAAAUUGCCUAAGUCAAGGGUCCACUCUAUCAAGGUUGUUCAGUUAACCAGGUGUGGCUGGCACGUACCUGUAACCCAGCACUUCAGGAGACUCAACCAGGAGGAUCUCAAUUUCAAGCCCAGCCUGGGCAACUUAGACCCUGCCUCAAAAUUAA